Molecule: long non-coding RNA, 714 nt
Filed under: Daucus carota (carrot)
Lineage: Eukaryota; Viridiplantae; Streptophyta; Magnoliopsida; Apiales; Apiaceae
Description: long non-coding RNA (DCAR_LNC001260)
Source: RNAcentral
AUAUAUAUAUAUAGAGUCUUACUCCAAUAGAAACCACUUUAUUCUAGAAACUAAAAACCAAGCUGAAAUAUCACUAAAUCCUAAAGCAGAUACCACUAAAUUCUUAAACAACCCCAUCUCCACCUCCAUCUUCAUCAACCCCACCUCCAUCUUCACCAACCCCACCCCCACAUCCACCACUGCCACCACCUCCGUCGUCACCUCGUCCAUAACCACCAUCACCUUUAUGCCCCCUCCAUCUCCACCUCCAUUAUUUCUCUAACAACACAAUCUCCACCUCCAUCUUCACCAACCCCAUCUUGGUCGAUGCUUCAACCUCCUUCAGCCCCGUUCAUACUUCUUUCCCCACCUCGGCUCAACUUCAAAACGCGGCGGAGCCACCACUAUUCCGGCAACGCUCCAACCCCCUACUUCAAGCCGCACAUACCUUCGCUACAAUCAUCCUUUCUCCAUCUCUACCUUCACCUCCACCAUCGUCACUACCAUCUGAAUCGAAAUCGUGAACAGAUCUGGAAAUUUUGAGCAGUGUUUGGAACAUAUAUGAAGAUUCUGGGCGGCUUCUGCAAGUUUUCACUAAAUCUUACAACACUGAUCACUAAAUCGUAAAGAGAAUAUCACUAAAUUGUACUGAGAAUAUCACUAACUUGUAUUGGUUUCUAGUUUUUAUUUUAAAAGUGGUUUCUAUUUGAUCAUGAGCCUAUAUAUAUAUAUAUA